This 83-nucleotide transfer RNA is filed under the name Collybia nuda. RNAcentral describes it as "Lepista nuda tRNA-Met". The record is from RNAcentral. Lineage: Eukaryota; Fungi; Basidiomycota; Agaricomycetes; Agaricales; Clitocybaceae.
AGCAGCAUGGCGCAGUUGGAAGCGCGCGGGGCCCAUAUGAUAAACAUACCCCGAGGUCACUUGAUCGAAACAAGUUGCUGCUA